RNAcentral lists this ribosomal RNA (492 nucleotides) under uncultured bacterium. RNAcentral describes it as "partial 16S ribosomal RNA". It matches the Rfam family "Bacterial small subunit ribosomal RNA", at positions 29 to 507 of the family's 1533-position model. The record is from RNAcentral.
AGUGAACGCUGGCGGUAGGCCCAACACAUGCAAGUCGAACGGCAGCACAGUAAGAGCUUGCUCUUACGGGUGGCGAGUGGUGGACGGGUGAGGAAUACAUCGGAAUCUACUUUUUCGUGGGGGAUAACGUAGGGAAACUUACGCUAAUACCGCAUACGACCUACGGGUGAAAGCAGGGGAUCUUCGGACCUUGCGCGAUUGAAUGAGCCGAUGUCGGAUUAGCUAGUUGGCGGGGUAAAGGCCCACCAAGGCGACGAUCCGUAGCUGGUCUGAGAGGAUGAUCAGCCACACUGGAACUGAGACACGGUCCAGACUCCUACGGGAGGCAGCAGUGGGGAAUAUUGGACAAUGGGCGCAAGCCUGAUCCAGCCAUACCGCGUGGGUGAAGAAGGCCUUCGGGUUGUAAAGCCCUUUUGUUGGGAAAGAAAAGCAGCAGGUUAAUACCCCGCUGUUCUGACGGUACCCAAAGAAUAAGCACCGGCUAACUUCGUG